RNAcentral lists this ribosomal RNA (389 nucleotides) under uncultured bacterium. Its description in RNAcentral is "bacterial SSU rRNA". It matches the Rfam family "Bacterial small subunit ribosomal RNA", at positions 28 to 419 of the family's 1533-position model. The record is from RNAcentral.
GACGAACGCUGGCGGCGUGCUUAACACAUGCAAGUCGAGCGGUAAGGCCCUUUCGGGGGUACACGAGCGGCGAACGGGUGAGUAACACGUGGGUGACCUGCCUUUAGCUCUGGGAUAAGCCUGGGAAACCGGGUCUAAUACCGGAUAUGACUCCGCGGCGCAUGUUGUGGGGUGAAAGCCUUGUGCGGCUGGAGAUGGGCCCGCGGCCUAUCAGCUUGUUGGUGGGGUGAUGGCCUACCAAGGCGACGACGGGUAGCCGGCCUGAGAGGGCGACCGGCCACACUGGGACUGAGACACGGCCCAGACUCCUACGGGAGGCAGCAGUGGGGAAUCUUGCGCAAUGGGCGAAAGCCUGACGCAGCGACGCCGCGUGAGGGAUGACGGCCUGG